This 497-nucleotide ribosomal RNA is filed under the name uncultured bacterium. RNAcentral's name for it is "partial 16S ribosomal RNA". It matches the Rfam family "Bacterial small subunit ribosomal RNA", at positions 28 to 507 of the family's 1533-position model. The record is from RNAcentral.
GACGAACGCUGGCGGCGUGCCUAAUACAUGCAAGUUGAGCGAUGAAGAUUGGUGCUUGCACCAAUUUGAAGAGCAGCGAACGGGUGAGUAACGCGUGGGGAAUCUGCCUUUGAGCGGGGGACAACAUUUGGAAACGAAUGCUAAUACCGCAUAACAACUUUAAACAUAAGUUUUAAGUUUGAAAGAUGCAAUUGCAUCACUCAAAGAUGAUCCCGCGUUGUAUUAGCUAGUUGGUGAGGUAAAGGCUCACCAAGGCGAUGAUACAUAGCCGACCUGAGAGGGUGAUCGGCCACAUUGGGACUGAGAAACGGCCCAAACCCCUACGGGAGGCAGCAGUAGGGAAUCUUCGGCAAUGGACGAAAGUCUGACCGAGCAACGCCGCGUGAGUGAAGAAGGUUUUCGGAUCGUAAAACUCUGUUGGUAGAGAAGAACGUUGGUGAGAGUGGAAAGCUCAUCAAGUGACGGUAACUACACAGAAAGGGACGGCUAACUACGUG